AAAUUGAAGAGUUUGAUCAUGGCUCAGAUUGAACGCUGGCGGCAGGCCUAACACAUGCAAGUCGAACGGUAACAGGAAGCAGCUUGCUGCUUUGCUGACGAGUGGCGGACGGGUGAGUAAUGUCUGGGAAACUGCCUGAUGGAGGGGGAUAACUACUGGAAACGGUGGCUAAUACCGCAUAACGUCGCAAGACCAAAGAGGGGGACCUUCGGGCCUCUUGCCAUCAGAUGUGCCCAGAUGGGAUUAGCUUGUUGGUGAGGUAACGGCUCACCAAGGCGACGAUCCCUAGCUGGUCUGAGAGGAUGACCAGCCACACUGGAACUGAGACACGGUCCAGACUCCUACGGGAGGCAGCAGUGGGGAAUAUUGCACAAUGGGCGCAAGCCUGAUGCAGCCAUGCCGCGUGUAUGAAGAAGGCCUUCGGGUUGUAAAGUACUUUCAGCGGGGAGGAAGGUGUUGUGGUUAAUAACCGCAGCAAUUGACGUUACCCGCAGAAGAAGCACCGGCUAACUCCGUGCCAGCAGCCGCGGUAAUACGGAGGGUGCAAGCGUUAAUCGGAAUUACUGGGCGUAAAGCGCACGCAGGCGGUCUGUCAAGUCGGAUGUGAAAUCCCCGGGCUCAACCUGGGAACUGCAUUCGAAACUGGCAGGCUUGAGUCUUGUAGAGGGGGGUAGAAUUCCAGGUGUAGCGGUGAAAUGCGUAGAGAUCUGGAGGA
Molecule: ribosomal RNA, 715 nt
Filed under: Salmonella enterica subsp. diarizonae
Lineage: Bacteria; Pseudomonadati; Pseudomonadota; Gammaproteobacteria; Enterobacterales; Enterobacteriaceae
Description: bacterial SSU rRNA
Rfam family: Bacterial small subunit ribosomal RNA
Source: RNAcentral